Molecule: ribosomal RNA, 460 nt
Filed under: uncultured bacterium
Lineage: Bacteria
Description: partial 16S ribosomal RNA
Rfam family: Bacterial small subunit ribosomal RNA
Source: RNAcentral
CCUACGGGUGGCUGCAGUGAGGAAUAUUGGUCAAUGGGCUUACGCCUGAACCAGCCAAGUCGCGUGAGGGAAGACUGCCCUAUGGGUUGUAAACCUCUUUUGUCAGGGAGCAACGCCGGCUACGUGUAGCCGGACUGAGAGUACCUGAAGAAAAAGCAUCGGCUAACUCCGUGCCAGCAGCCGCGGUAAUACGGAGGAUGCGAGCGUUAUCCGGAUUUAUUGGGUUUAAAGUGUGCGUAGGCGGAAUGCCAAGUCAGCGGUAAAAUUGCGGGGCUCAACCUCGUCGAGCCGUUGAAACUGGGUGCCUUGAGUGGGCGAGAAGUACGCGGAAUGCGUGGUGUAGCGGUGAAAUGCAUAGAUAUCACGCAGAACUCCGAUUGCGAAGGCAGCGUACCGGCGCCCAACUGACGCUGAAGCACGAAGGCGUGGGUAUCGAACAGGAUUAGAUACCCCGGUAGUC